GUCUUGGACACAGGAGUUGACUCUGUGCAGAGGCUACUUGGUCCCAAAAAUUUGAUGUGAGUUAGAAGACAACAAUAUUACAGGCUGUUACUGAUUUCUCUGGAAGACAAUGUGAUGCAUCCCAGAACAUUUUUGCUGUUGUGGUCAGUUCACUAAAACAACAAAAUGAUUUUGGUGCCACUCUGUGGGCUUCGUUAAGACACACAUCUCCAUGAUGGAGCUUGGAAGCCAGAGGUUUAGGGUUUAUUUUCAAUAUGAGUUGAUGUAAUGGUGGGUUCAGGAAUUAUUUUUCUCAAGAGUAUUCAGUUAACCAUGGUCUUAAACUAGGUUUCAGGCAUUAUUCAUAUCAAGAAUUUCAGUGAAGUCAAGUCAAAACACUUCACUGUAUAAGUAAGUACAACCUGUAGUAAACAAAAUGAUUUAAAAAAUACUGUGAAAUGCCACACAACCUGAUGAAACAGCAUUUGUGGGAACUGGACUUACAUUGCUAUAUCCAUUAGAAAUGUCUAAUAAUUUCUAGUAACAUAAGUACUUUUCUCUCCCUGACAGUGUA
Molecule: long non-coding RNA, 553 nt
Filed under: Bos taurus (domestic cattle)
Lineage: Eukaryota; Metazoa; Chordata; Mammalia; Artiodactyla; Bovidae
Description: long non-coding RNA NONBTAT018153
Source: RNAcentral